GUCCAUGCCGUAAACGUUGGGCACUAGGUGUGGGGCUCAUUCCACGAGUUCCGUGCCGCAGCUAACGCAUUAAGUGCCCCGCCUGGGGAGUACGGCCGCAAGGCUAAAACUCAAAGGAAUUGACGGGGGCCCGCACAAGCGGCGGAGCAUGCGGAUUAAUUCGAUGCAACGCGAAGAACCUUACCAAGGCUUGACAUGCACCGGACGCUGCCAGAGAUGGUGGUUCCGCAAGGUCGGUGCACAGGUGGUGCAUGGUUGUCGU
RNAcentral lists this ribosomal RNA (262 nucleotides) under uncultured bacterium. RNAcentral's name for it is "partial 16S ribosomal RNA". It matches the Rfam family "Bacterial small subunit ribosomal RNA", at positions 793 to 1055 of the family's 1533-position model. The record is from RNAcentral.